CAGUUUUAUUAUAUCGAUACGGAAAAUUCUCGGAAAAUCAAUCACGAAGGAAACUUAUAUGAACGAUUGCUUUAUUUGUUUUUCCGUCUAACUUCGAUAACUCUAUAGCUAAUCGAAUCAUAACGUGACGAAUCGUAUAAGGAAAAAAAGAAAGAAGUUGGAACAGACGAUGGAUAUGUUAAGAUACGAUUAACCAAAAACAGAAACAUUUCAAGUCUGAAUGGUAGAAUUAAACAAAGGCAAAAUGAAACAUUUCACUCAAGUACGAAUAAAACAAUUAAAUGAAAGCAGAGUUUCUAAGAGUUUGAAGAAAAUUUUUGAGAGAUAAGCACAGUUCUUUAGUAUGUGUCACUGGGAUGUUCCAAGUAUUAAAAUAAUUAAUGCAUGUUACAAAGACGUUGAUUGCCCUGUGUUUUAGAAAUUGGAAAACACGGUUAGUUAUAAUGAAACAUUUCAUUGAAGGCCUAAUGGAAGAAUUAAACAAAAGCGAAUUUCCGAAGGAUGUUCGAAACAUUAGAAAUAAUUCAUAAAAUGCAGUAAAUGCUUCCAAAGUGAAAGCAAUACAACGAGUGAAAUGUCAGACAAGAUUGUUCAAUCAAUGCACUGCAACCAGAAUAAAUCGGAUGCAAUAUUUCAAUAAAAUAAUCAAUAUUUGCGCAUAACUAUUACUACAGCUAAACCGUCCAAAGAGACAAAUAUACGAGUUGCGUCUCGUACUGGUGGGAGACAAGAUUAUUCAAUCAAUACACUGCAAUUAGAACAAAUCGUGUACAAUAUUGCAGUAAAAUAAUCUUGAUAUGCUAAUAAUUAGUAAUGCAGUAAACAGUCCAAAGAUAAAAAAAAACGCAUGAAGUCUUAAUUAGUAUAAAAAAGUGAGACAACAUUAUGCAAUCAAUACACUGCAACCAGAAUAAAUCGGAUGCAAUAUUGCAACAAAAUGAUUAUUAUGCUAAUAAACAACAAUGCAGUAAAACCAUCCAAAGAGAAAAAUAUGUAUAGAUACAACGGUUGGCAUCUUACAAAGAAAUAAUAAUGGUGGCACUGUUUCAAAAAUUGGAAAACACGGUAGUUAUGUUAACCAGACGCUUUAAUCAGAAUGAAAUAUUUCAUUGAAUUCCGAAUGCGAGAAUCAAACAAAGGCAGAAUGAAACAUUUUCAUUGAAAUCCGACUAGGAGAAUUAAACAAAAGCAGAAUCCCCGAGGGAAAGAACGAAUGCUUGAAAGAGAGAGAAGCAAAUAUUUAUAGUCUGUGUCGCUGGAAUGUGCCAAACAUUAAAAAAUAUUUUUAAAAAUGCAGUAAAAGCGUCCAAUGUUAAAACUGUACCUACACCAAGUGGCGUCUUACAAAGAAUUAAUAAUGGUGCUCCUCUGAAUCGUAAAUCGGAAAACGUGGUUAGCUAGAUUAAAACAUUUUAUUGACAUCUGAACACAAGGAUUAAACAAAUAUUGGAAAAAAAUGAACUGAAGUCCGAAUGGGAGAAUUAAAAGAGGUGAAAAUCCCGAAGGAAAAGGGAAUGCAUAAGAGAGAGAGUAACUGUUUUAGAAUAUUCCAAACAUUAAAGAUAAUUAUUCAAAAAAAGCGUCCGAAACAAUAAUAACGAGUGGCGUCUUACAAAGAAAUAGCAGUGAUGGUUGUUUAUUCCAGAAAUCGGAAAACAUGGUAAAACAGAGUUAAUCUUUUUAUUGAAGUCUGAAUGGAAUAAGUAGUGAACUGUU
This is a long non-coding RNA of Maniola jurtina (meadow brown), 1716 nucleotides long. RefSeq lists it as uncharacterized. The record is from RefSeq and is a predicted model, not a curated record. The transcript is spliced from 2 exons. NCBI's taxonomy places the organism in Eukaryota, Metazoa, Arthropoda, Insecta, Lepidoptera, Nymphalidae.